GGAGCAGAGGUGGCUGGCGGGCCCGGCUGACUGCGCCUCUGCUUUCUUUCCAUAACCUUUUCUUUCGGACUCGAAUCACGGCUGCUGCGAAGGGUCUAGUUCCGGACACUAGACUGGAUGGCUUUUCUGGGCCAUGCUAUUCUCAGACCUCCCACCUUCACCCCCAGGGCCCCAGAUCGUGUCACAUCCAUAUGACACUUGGAAUGUGACAGGGCAGGAUGUGAUCUUUGGCUGUGAGGUGUUUGCCUACCCCAUGGCCUCCAUCGAGUGGAGGAAGGAUGGCUUGGACAUCCAGCUGCCAGGGGAUGACCCCCACAUCUCCGUGCAGGUAGACUGGUGGGAGAGGCUUCCCUCAGGCAGCCCAGGGCCCUCCAGAAGGACCCUGCUGAUUCCUUGCCUGGCUCCAGUUUAGGGGUGGACCCCAGAGGUUUGAGGUGACUGGCUGGCUGCAGAUCCAGGCUGUGCGUCCCAGUGAUGAGGGCACUUACCGCUGCCUUGCCCGCAAUGCCCUGGGUCAAGUGGAGGCCCCUGCUAGCUUGACAGUGCUCACACCUGACCAGCUGAACUCUACAGGUAUCCCCCAGCUGCGAUCACUAAACCUGGUUCCUGAGGAGGAGGCUGAGAGUGAAGAGAGUGACGAUUACUACUAGGUCCAGAGCUCUGGCCCAUGGGGGUGGGUGAGCGGCUAUAGUGUUCAUCCCUGCUCUUGAAAAGACCUGGAACAGGGAGCAGGGUCCCUUCACGGACUGCUUUCAUGCUGUCAGUAGGGAUGAUCAUGGGAGGCCUAUUUGACUCCAAGGUAGCAGUGUGGUAGGGGAAAGACAAAAGCUGGA
RNAcentral lists this small RNA (833 nucleotides) under Pongo abelii (Sumatran orangutan). RNAcentral describes it as "processed transcript". The record is from RNAcentral. Lineage: Eukaryota; Metazoa; Chordata; Mammalia; Primates; Hominidae.